Molecule: ribosomal RNA, 807 nt
Filed under: Calycina herbarum
Lineage: Eukaryota; Fungi; Ascomycota; Leotiomycetes; Helotiales; Pezizellaceae
Description: SSU rRNA
Rfam family: Bacterial small subunit ribosomal RNA (bases 132-807)
Source: RNAcentral
GGAUUUAAUUAUCUGGUUUUUUUAUUUACAUCUAAAAAAAAUUUAUGAGGGAGGCCUAGUCAUCUCCCGUUUGUAGUUGUUUAGUUUACUUUGUUGUUUUAUAUUAGAAAUCUUAUUUUUAUUUUCUAAUUAUUAACUGGAUUUUUAUUCAGGCUGACGGUAUAGUAGCGAUUUUGUCGCAUAAAGUUCUAGAUAUUUUAAUAUGGUUGAUUAUGACAAUCAAAUAUCUAUUUGUCUUGACCAAAUUACGUGCCAGCAGUCGCGGUAAUACGUAAAAGACUAGUGUUAUUCAUCUUUAAUAGGUUUACAGGGUACCUAGACGGUAAAUUUGAUCUUAAACAAGAUAUCUUUUUACUAGAGUUUUAUAUGAGGAGGUGAGUAUUUAUGGAGUAGAGUUGAAAUUCUUUGAUCCCAUAACGACUGGUAAAGGCGAAAGCAACCUUUUAUCUAAUAACUGACGUUGAGGGACGAAGGCUCGGGUCGCGAACAGGAUUAGAUACCCUAGUAGUCCAAGCAGAGAAUUAUGAAUGCCAUGGGUUAGAUAUUUAUUUGGCCUAUAAAUGAAAGUGUAAGCAUUUCACCUCAAGAGUAAUGUGGCAACGCAGAAACUGAAAUCAUUAGACCGUUUCUGAAACCAGUAGUGAAGUAUGUUAUUUAAUUCGUAGGUACGCGAAAAACCUUACCACAACUUGAAUAAUAUAUUAAUCUUUCGUAAUUCUUUUCAUGUAAGAGGUACCUUUAUUGGUUAGAAAGAUUAAUAUAUUACAAGCGUUGCACGGCUGUUUUUAGUUAAUGUCGUGAGAUAUU